GAUGAACGCUGACAGGAUGCUUAACACAUGCAAGUCGGCUCGAGUCUUCGGACUUGGGUGGCGCACGGGUGAGUAACGCGUAAAGAACUUGCCUCUUAGACCGGGACAACGUUUGGAAACGGAUGCUAAUACCGGAUAUUAUGGUUUCCUCGCAUGGGGGAAUCAUGAAAGCUACAUGCGCUAAGAGAGAGCUUUGCGUCCCAUUAGCCCGUUGGUGAGGUAACGGCCCACCAAGGCAAUGAUGGGUAGCCGGCCUGAGAGGGUGAACGGCCACAAGGGGACUGAGACACGGCCCUU
This 297-nucleotide ribosomal RNA is filed under the name uncultured bacterium. Its description in RNAcentral is "partial 16S ribosomal RNA". It matches the Rfam family "Bacterial small subunit ribosomal RNA", at positions 28 to 334 of the family's 1533-position model. The record is from RNAcentral.